AUGAACGCUGGCGGCGUGCCUAAUACAUGCAAGUCGAGCGAACAGACGAGGAGCUUGCUCCUCUGACGUUAGCGGCGGACGGGUGAGUAACACGUGGAUAACCUACCUAUAAGACUGGGAUAACUUCGGGAAACCGGAGCUAAUACCGGAUAAUAUAUUGAACCGCAUGGUUCAAUAGUGAAAGACGGUUUUGCUGUCACUUAUAGAUGGAUCCGCGCCGCAUUAGCUAGUUGGUAAGGUAACGGCUUACCAAGGCAACGAUGCGUAGCCGACCUGAGAGGGUGAUCGGCCACACUGGAACUUAGACACGGUCCAGACUCCUACGGGAGGCAGCAGUAGGGAAUCUUCCGCAAUGGGCGAAAGCCUGACGGAGCAACGCCGCGUGAGUGAUGAAGGUCUUCGGAUCGUAAAACUCUGUUAUUAGGGAAGAACAAAUGUGUAAGUACCUAUGCACGUCUUGACGGUACCUGAUCAGAAAGCCACGGCUAACUACGUG
RNAcentral lists this ribosomal RNA (496 nucleotides) under uncultured bacterium. RNAcentral's name for it is "partial 16S ribosomal RNA". It matches the Rfam family "Bacterial small subunit ribosomal RNA", at positions 29 to 507 of the family's 1533-position model. The record is from RNAcentral.